Molecule: ribosomal RNA, 1395 nt
Filed under: uncultured bacterium
Lineage: Bacteria
Description: bacterial SSU rRNA
Rfam family: Bacterial small subunit ribosomal RNA
Source: RNAcentral
UUAGAGUUUGAUCCUGGCUCAGGAUGAACGCUAGCGGGAGGCUUAACACAUGCAAGUCGAGGGGUAACAGAGGUAGCAAUACUUGCUGACGACCGGCGUACGGGUGAGUAACGCGUAUGCAACCUGCCCUAUACAGGAGGAUAGCCCGAAGAAAUUCGGAUUAAUACUCCAUGCAGCAUAUUUUUCGCAUGAUAAAUAUGUUAAAGAUUUAUCGGUAUAGGGUGGGCAUGCGUCCCAUUAGUUAGUUGGUGAGGUAAUGGCUCACCAAGGCUUCGAUGGGUAUGGGGUCUAAAAGGAUGGUCCCACACACUGGCACUGAGACACGGGCCAGACUCCUACGGGAGGCAGCAGUGAGGAAUAUUGGUCAAUGGGCGAGAGCCUGAACCAGCCAUCCCGCGUGCAGGAUGACAGUCCUAGUGAUUGUAAACUGCUUUUCUAUAAGAUGAAUAAGGACUACGUGUAGUUCGAUGACCGUAUUAUAGGAAUAAGCAUCGGCUAACUCCGUGCCAGCAGCCGCGGUAAUACGGAGGAUGCAAGCGUUAUCCGGAUUUAUUAGGUUUAAAGGGUGCGUAGGCUGUUUUGUAAGUCAGCGGUGAAAGACCGGGGCCCAACUCCGGAAGUGCCGUUGAUACUGCAUUGCUAGAGUUCCCCUGCCGUGGGAGGAAUGAGUGGUGUAGCGGUGAAAUGCAUAGAUAUCACUCAGAACACCGAUUGCGAAGGCAGCUUACUAAGCCAUAACUGACGCUCAAGCACGAAGGCGUGGGGAUCAAACAGGAUUAGAUACCCUGGUAGUCCACGCAGUAAACGAUGAUUACUGGCUGUUUGCGAUAUAUUGUAAGCGGCUGAGCGAAAGCGUUAAGUAAUCCACCUGGGGAGUACGUUCGCAAGAAUGAAACUCAAAGGAAUUGACGGGGGCCCGCACAAGCGGAGGAACAUGUGGUUUAAUUCGAUGAUACGCGAGGAACCUUACCCGGGCGUGAAUUGCAUCUGAAUAUAUUGGAAACUUUAUAGCCAGCGAUGGCAGAUGUGAAGGUGCUGCAUGGUUGUCGUCAGCUCGUGCCGUGAGGUGUAGGCUUAAGUGCCAUAACGAGCGCAACCCUCAUUGUUAGUUACCAUCAGGUAGUGCUGGGGACUCUAACAAGACUGCCGGCGUAAGCUGUGAGGAAGGUGGGGAGGACGUCAAAUCAGCACGGCCCUUACAUCCAGGGCUACACACGUGUUACAAUGGCCGGUACAAAGGGCAGCUACACAGCGAUGUGAUGCUAAUCUCCAAAUCCGGUCUCAGUUCGGAUCGAAGUCUGCAACCCGACUUCGUGAAGCUGGAUUCGCUAGUAAUCGCGCAUCAGCCAUGGCGCGGGGAAUACGUUCCCGGGCCUUGCACACACCGCCCGUCAA